GAUGAACGCUGGCGGCGUGCUUAACACAUGCAAGUCGAACGGUGAACCCGGAGCUUGCUCUGUGGGAUCAGUGGCGAACGGGUGAGUAACACGUGAGCAACCUGCCCCUGACUCUGGGAUAAGCGCUGGAAACGGCGUCUAAUACUGGAUAUGUGACGUGACCGCAUGGUCUGCGUUUGGAAAGAUUUUUCGGUUGGGGAUGGGCUCGCGGCCUAUCAGCUUGUUGGUGAGGUAAUGGCUCACCAAGGCGUCGACGGGUAGCCGGCCUGAGAGGGUGACCGGCCACACUGGGACUGAGAUACGGCCCAGACUCCUACGGGAGGCAGCAGUGGGGAAUAUUGCACAAUGGGCGGAAGCCUGAUGCAGCAACGCCGCGCGAGGGAUGACGGCCUUCGGGUUGUAAACCUCUUUUGGCGGGGAAGAAGCGAAAGUGACGGUACCUGCAGAAAAAGCGCCGGCUAACUACGUG
Molecule: ribosomal RNA, 469 nt
Filed under: uncultured bacterium
Lineage: Bacteria
Description: partial 16S ribosomal RNA
Rfam family: Bacterial small subunit ribosomal RNA
Source: RNAcentral